Molecule: ribosomal RNA, 469 nt
Filed under: uncultured bacterium
Lineage: Bacteria
Description: partial 16S ribosomal RNA
Rfam family: Bacterial small subunit ribosomal RNA
Source: RNAcentral
GACGAACGCUGGCGGCGUGCUUAACACAUGCAAGUCGAACGGAAAGGCCCUGCUUGCAGGGUGCUCGAGUGGCGAACGGGUGAGUAACACGUGGGUGAUCUGCCCCUUACUUUGGGAUAAGCCUGGGAAACUGGGUCUAAUACUGGAUAGGACCAUGCUGUAGGUGGUGUGGUGGAAAGAUUAGUUUCGGUAAGGGAUGAGCUCGCGGCCUAUCAACUUGUUGGUGGGGUAAUGGCCUACCAAGGCGUCGACGGGUAGCCGGCCUGAGAGGGUGGACGGCCACAUUGGGACUGAGAUACGGCCCAGACUCCUACGGGAGGCAGCAGUGGGGAAUAUUGCACAAUGGGCGCAAGCCUGAUGCAGCGACGCCGCGUGGGGGAUGACGGCCUUCGGGUUGUAAACUCCUUUCAGCCAUGACGAAGCCCUUGUGGUGACGGUAGUGGUAGAAGAAGCACCGGCUAACUACGUG